This 473-nucleotide ribosomal RNA is filed under the name Trebouxia potteri. RNAcentral's name for it is "eukaryotic LSU rRNA". It matches the Rfam family "Eukaryotic large subunit ribosomal RNA", at positions 704 to 1184 of the family's 3401-position model. The record is from RNAcentral. Lineage: Eukaryota; Viridiplantae; Chlorophyta; Trebouxiophyceae; Trebouxiales; Trebouxiaceae.
CACCCAUGAGACGCAAGUAACCUGACUGGUGGGAUGGCUUGUGCCUGCACCAUCGACCGACCAUGAUCUUCUGUGAAAGGUUUGAGUACGAGCAUACCUGUUGGGACCCGAAAGAUGGUGAACUAUGCCUGAGCAGGGCGAAGCCAGAGGAAACUCUGGUGGAGGCUCGUAGAUGUGCUGACGUGCAAAUCGCUUUUCGGACUUGGGUAUAGGGGCGAAAGACUAAUCGAACCAUCUAGUAGCUGGUUCCCUCCGAAGUUUCCCCCAGGAUAGCUGGAGCUUGAUCAGUUUUAUCAGGUAAAGCGAAUGAUUAGAGGUACCGGGGAUGAAACAUCCUCGACCUAUUCUCAAACUUUAAAUAGGUAAGACGUCUGGGUUGCUUAAUUGAACCCAGGCAUUCAAUGAGAGCUCCAAGUGGGCCAUUUUUGGUAAGCAGAACUGGCGAUGCGGGAUGAACCGAAAGCUGAGUUAAG